This 460-nucleotide ribosomal RNA is filed under the name uncultured bacterium. Its description in RNAcentral is "partial 16S ribosomal RNA". It matches the Rfam family "Bacterial small subunit ribosomal RNA", at positions 338 to 795 of the family's 1533-position model. The record is from RNAcentral.
CCUACGGGUGGCAGCAGUGAGGAAUAUUGGUCAAUGGUCGUAAGACUGAACCAGCCAAGUAGCGUGAAGGAUGACUGCCCUACGGGUUGUAAACUUCUUUUAUACAGGAAUAAAGUGAGGCACGUGUGCUUUUUUGUAUGUACUUUAUGAAUAAGGAUCGGCUAACUCCGUGCCAGCAGCCGCGGUAAUACGGAGGGUCCGAGCGUUAUCCGGAUUUAUUGGGUUUAAAGGGAGCGUAGAUGGGUUGUUAAGUCAGUUGUGAAAGUUCGCGGCUCAACCGUAAAACUGCAAUGGAUACUGGCAGCCUUGAGUACAGGUGAGGUAGGCGGAAUUCGUGGUGUAGCGGUGAAAUGCUUAGAUAUCACGAAGAACUCCGAUUGCGAAGGCAGCCUACUAAACUGCCACUGACAUUGAUGCUCGAAAGUGUGGGUAUCAAACAGGAUUAGAUACCCGAGUAGUC